Molecule: non-coding RNA, 29 nt
Filed under: Mus musculus (house mouse)
Lineage: Eukaryota; Metazoa; Chordata; Mammalia; Rodentia; Muridae
Source: RNAcentral
UAGGAAAGCUCCCAGACCAACAGAUGGGU